GAGGAGGGGACAGGGAGGAGGUGUGACAGAGGUUGGGAGGUGAAGCUGGGGAUGGAGGUGUGACCAAGGAUGGAAGGUGAGGAUGGGGAUGGAGGUGUAACUGAGGAUGGGAGGUAAAGCCGAGGAUGGAGGUGUGACAAAGGAUGGAAGGUGAGAAUGGGGAUGGAGGUGUGACAGAGGUGGGAGGUGAGGCUUCGGAUGGAGGUGUGAACCAGGAAAAGAAAGAAUCACAGAAGGGCAAUGAGGGUGAGCCGGUGACUGAUGAGGGAGACUGGAAGAAGUUGAGACUAGAAGGAGGAGGAGGAGGGUAGAGGGAGGAGAGAGGAAGAGGCACAGACACAGCACACAGACAACAGAGGAUGUGAGCAAGACAGGAAAAAAGUGACACUGAGAAGAAAAGAAGUGACCAGAGUGUGUGUGCCAGCACCGACAGUGGAAUACACUGCCAUAGUGUGUGUACCAGCACUGACAGCGGAUACAUUGCCACAGUGUGUGUGCCAGCACC
Long non-coding RNA from Nanorana parkeri, 505 nucleotides. RefSeq lists it as uncharacterized. The record is from RefSeq and is a predicted model, not a curated record. The transcript is spliced from 3 exons. NCBI's taxonomy places the organism in Eukaryota, Metazoa, Chordata, Amphibia, Anura, Dicroglossidae.